GGUGUAUUAUAUGUUUCAGGAAACGUUCUCUGGAUCACGGUUAUACGUUGCCCAUCGAUCCAACCACUGGGGGGGGGUGAAAAUCUUGCUUUUUACAAAAAUGUUUUUCUACUUUCAAGUUCCCCAGUACAAAAAGAGAUUAAUGAAUAAUGUGAAUGGACUGUGUGGUCACAAGCUGCUCGAUGUGGGCAGGAAAACUAUGCGGAUCGUGGAGAUUACGCCCUUUCUGAAAUAUUCAGGAUACUCUGCUCUGCAAGGACAAUCUUUGAGAUCUAACUUUGUAUUUGGGAAUUUAUGAGCAACCUUUAUAAAGCGUCCCUUGUCUCUCUGUGUGAAUGGAGGUUCUACUUUGCUGUAAAACAUCAUUGAUGCAACAGUUUUUAGUUGGUGUUAUCAUUGUACGGCCACUUUAUAAUUCCAGAUACACGUGGAUAUUCUUAAGUGGUUCUAAGCAAAGCCACUCCUGGUGGAUCCUAGUUCAGAGACCCUGCCUUUGUCAAAUUUGAAAAAAUGAGCCCAUUCUUCCAAGAAGAAUUCAAAUUGUGGAUUCCUCGGUAACUAUCAACAGAACUACAUUCCAUUCUGAAUUGUUUCUUCACUUGAAAUUCCAUUUGAAAAGAUGCCAAUUUGUUUUGUUUUUUUAAAUGUUGUUCUAAAGAAUUUCCUUGUGACCGGCUAAGAGCACUAAUGGUGCAUUUGUCAUUGCCAAAACCUUUCUCCUACCUCACUCCCAUUUGAGAAUUAGGCAGUAUGUAUUUUUUAUUUUUUUUAAUUCUGGACCACAUCCAGCUCAUCACCUUCACUCCAGCAAGUGGUUGUGGUCAUUUAAAAAAUACACAUGUUUUUAUUUAAGAUUAACAUGUUGGGUUAGCCCAUGUUCAAACAUCUUUGUGGAGUCGAGGUGUUGACUAUUUACAAGUAAUUUUUUCACUUGUUUCAUGUUUUUUAAACACGUUUCCUAUAAUGAUGGUUAUAUAGAACACACAAUUCUGAGCAAAGCUCUCAUAGCAAAUGAAACUAGCAGGUGAUUGUUAUAUGUGAAAUACUUUGCCCUAGAACUGCAUUCUAUCCAGAACCCCUAAUGUGAUUUAGUAUUGGUAUUUCAAGAUCACGCCAUGGUUUUCAGGAUUCAACGCUCAGUCCAAAUGGACGACGGAAUCUGGCUUUGUACAAGUCGAUCCGUGAAAAUGUGUCAGGAUGCACCAAUACGUUGUAUGGAACCGGUGUGCCUAUAAAUAUUUAGGUGUAUAUAGGCUGAAAUAAGGUGUUGUGCAUUACUUUUCUCAACACAAGCGCCAACAACAUAGUUGACACAUUGGAAAUUUCUCUGAAGAAAAAUUCUGAGGUUACCUCCUAAGGGUGGAGUUGCGACCAUGGGAUGUACCUAGUGAUUUCUCAGGUUCUAGAAGUUUGUUCCUAAAUUGUUCAUUUGGUAAUAUUUUUUCCUAACUAAUUAUUGAUGUAUUUCACUGGUAAACGGACGAUGCUUUCAUAGUGCUGGGCCUUCAGCUAUGCAAGCACACGAGUGUCAUAACACAAAAUUCCAAACGAUCUAUUGCUCCAGACUUGCUUGUCCCUGUGGUCUGUCGGCCAAAUGUACAAAAUUGGCCAAACAUCUUUGGAUUUUAAUGAGUGGAAUGAAUACUUUAGUUAGGAGGGGGUGUUCACUGUAAUUUUUAAAUCCCAGCUGUUUUUCGUUUAGAAAUCUCUGAUGUUAAAAACAACUGCUCUUUAUUCAGUCCAGAUAUUCACGUGGCUUUCAGAAUAUAUUUAUUCUCCUCUCGCUGAGGAUUAAAUGUUGAAAGCCUAUUUUUGUCCCCACACCCUGCAAAUUCUUUAACACAGAAAGCUUGCGAUCUUAUUGUGUGAUCUUUCUUCUUGAAAAGCUCUUGGUUCUAUUUUGAACAAACUCUCCUUUGUGAAUUGCUCUGGUUGUCAUUUUUAAAAAUUUCCGCUCGGAUUUAAGUUUGGGAUUUAAAAUUAGAUUCCUGCGAUUUAUAUUUUGUUCCAGUGAUUUCCAGUGAGACAAAGCACCAUGUGAACUAUAAAUGAACCAAACAGAUUAUUUUUGUUUUGUUUGUUUUUCUACGAAUAUAAAUUCAACAAGUUUGAAAAUCUAGUAUUAAACCUUGGUGGGGAGGGAAUGGAGUUAGAUACUUGAUUGUGUGAGCCAGCAGUCAGUGAUACCAGGGUACAUAAAUUGUUUGAUUCCCUUACAAGAGUGGCUAAAUUAGCCCUGUGCCUUGCCACAAAUUAUUUUUUUAAAUGUUGGACGCUUUCUUGAAACGCCCCACCGCUCCUACAGGUUAGAAGAGUAUCAUGGCAAAUGUUGUCCAUAAACAUCUGGUAUAGAAGGGAAAUGCCUGCCAACAACGUCUAACCUUGGCUCUGCAGAGAUUAUCAAGGAGAGAAAGAAUUAGUACAGUCAGUCAAUUGAACAUGCAAAGUUUGCAAGCCAACUGCAGACACAUGUUUUUUCUCAAGACAGUCAUGGACAAAUGCUGGAACUGAAGCAGGUGACUAUUACUGGGCACAGAGUAUGUACCUGCUACAUGGUGGGGACAGUUUAGAAAUUACUUCAGAGUGUUGUAAUAACAGUUAUAUUAUAACACCCUAAAGACUGCAGUCACCACGAUUGUGGGGGUGGGCACCUCCUACACAUGAAAAGUACCCUCAGCCCACCACAAAUCUCCAACCCACACA
Molecule: long non-coding RNA, 2703 nt
Filed under: Pelobates cultripes (western spadefoot toad)
Lineage: Eukaryota; Metazoa; Chordata; Amphibia; Anura; Pelobatidae
Source: RNAcentral